ACUGGUUGUAACAGAUUGUGGAAAAGCAUCACCAGCAGCACUGGACCAAUCAGGAGAGAGAAGACACAGAGGACUGAAGGGACUCAGAAAAUCCUGCUGGAAAUCCCAAGAUGAAGUUUCCUGAUGCAACAGCGGGACACCUGAGGACACAGAAUAAAGAAGGACCAUGUGAAGCAGAUGAUGGUGAAGGUUGAGGAGAUAAUGACUUGAUCAGAAACUGUGGCCGACAACUGCAAACGCGCAGCAAACAGCAAAACGAGCUGC
Molecule: long non-coding RNA, 264 nt
Organism: Xiphophorus maculatus (southern platyfish)
Lineage: Eukaryota; Metazoa; Chordata; Actinopteri; Cyprinodontiformes; Poeciliidae
Exons: 3
Source: RefSeq, a predicted model, not a curated record